UACGGGGGGGGCAAGCGUUGUUCGGAAUUACUGGGCUUAAAGGGCUCGUAGGCGGCCAACUAAGUCGGAUGUGAAAUCCCCAGGCUUAACCUGGGAACUGCAUCCGAUACUGGAUGGCUUGAAUCCGGGAGAGGGAUGCGGAAUUCCAGGUGUAGCGGUGAAAUGCGCAGAUAUCAGGAGGAACACCGGUGGCGAAGGCGGUGGUCUGGGCCGGAACUGACGCUGAGGAGCGAAAGCGUGGGGAGCGAACAGG
RNAcentral lists this ribosomal RNA (253 nucleotides) under uncultured bacterium. RNAcentral describes it as "partial 16S ribosomal RNA". It matches the Rfam family "Bacterial small subunit ribosomal RNA", at positions 524 to 776 of the family's 1533-position model. The record is from RNAcentral.